CUACGGGGGGCUCCAGUGAGGAAUAUUACACAAUGGGGGGAACCCUGAUGCAGCAACGCCGCGUGGAGGAUGACGCAUUUCGGUGUGUAAACUCCUUUUAUAUGUCAAGAAAAUGACGGUAGCAUAUGAAUAAGCACCGGCUAACUCCGUGCCAGCAGCCGCGGUAAUACGGAGGGUGCAAGCGUUACUCGGAAUCACUGGGCAUAAAGGACGCGUAGGCGGGUUGGAAAGUCAGGUGUGAAAUCCUACAGCUUAACUGUAGAACUGCACUUGAAACUUCUAAUCUAGAGUAUGGGAGGGGGAGAUGGAAUUAGUGGUGUAGGGGUAAAAUCCGUAGAUAUCACUAGGAAUACCUAAAGCGAAGGCGAUCUCCUGGAACAUUACUGACGCUAAGGCGUGAAAGCGUGGGGAGCAAACAGGAUUAGAUACCCGCGUAGUC
RNAcentral lists this ribosomal RNA (439 nucleotides) under uncultured bacterium. Its description in RNAcentral is "partial 16S ribosomal RNA". It matches the Rfam family "Bacterial small subunit ribosomal RNA", at positions 339 to 795 of the family's 1533-position model. The record is from RNAcentral.